UACGUAGGUGGCAAGCGUUAUCCGGAUUUACUGGGUGUAAAGGGCGUGUAGGCGGGGACGCAAGUCAGAUGUGAAAACCACGGGCUCAACCUGUGGCCUGCAUUUGAAACUGUGUUUCUUGAGUACUGGAGAGGCAGACGGAAUUCCUAGUGUAGCGGUGAAAUGCGUAGAUAUAUGGAGGAACACCGGUGGCGAAAGCGGCUCUCUGGCCUGUAACUGACACUGAGGCUCGAAAGCGUGGGGAGCAAACAGG
This 253-nucleotide ribosomal RNA is filed under the name uncultured bacterium. RNAcentral's name for it is "partial 16S ribosomal RNA". It matches the Rfam family "Bacterial small subunit ribosomal RNA", at positions 524 to 776 of the family's 1533-position model. The record is from RNAcentral.